Molecule: ribosomal RNA, 261 nt
Filed under: uncultured bacterium
Lineage: Bacteria
Description: partial 16S ribosomal RNA
Rfam family: Bacterial small subunit ribosomal RNA
Source: RNAcentral
GUCCACGCCCUAAACGAUGUCAACUGGUUGUUGGGUCUUCACUGACUCAGUAACGAAGCUAACGCGUGAAGUUGACCGCCUGGGGAGUACGGCCGCAAGGUUAAAACUCAAAGGAAUUGACGGGGCCCGCACAAGCGGUGGAGCAUGUGGUUUAAUUCGAAGCAACGCGCAGAACCUUACCACCUUUUGACAUGCCUGGACCGCCACAGAGAUGUGGUUUUCCCUUCGGGGACUAGGACACAGGUGCUGCAUGGCUGUCGU